AGGGGAGAUGAAAACGAAAUCUCUGUCAUCUACUGAGAUUUUCUCUAGUUGAAAUCUUAUUUCCAUAUCUUGCCUGAAUGGCAGUGAUCAGAGCAGCUAGACAACAGCUCAGGCUGAAAGAGACACAGGCAAUUCUCAUUCUACUACUACCUGGAGCUACUAGCUAUGAAGACAAAAAAAUCAAGAUUGCAAGGAAAGCAAAUAUUUAAGUAUCCCACUGGACUAUUGGACUGCAGAGAAGUCUCCAUCCUGGAAGAUACUCAAAAGCUAUAUGGACAUGGUCCUGGGCAACCAGCUGUAGGUGAUGGUACUCAAGCAGAGGCUUUGGACAAACAUUCUAUUAUUCUGUGAACCUUCAAAACAUUCCAUAAAACAUGUAUUUCUGCCACCUACACUGUAAGUUUC
This 405-nucleotide long non-coding RNA is filed under the name Phasianus colchicus (ring-necked pheasant). RNAcentral describes it as "lncRNA (ENSPCLG00000000058.1)". Lineage: Eukaryota; Metazoa; Chordata; Aves; Galliformes; Phasianidae. The record is from RNAcentral.